Molecule: ribosomal RNA, 253 nt
Filed under: uncultured bacterium
Lineage: Bacteria
Description: partial 16S ribosomal RNA
Rfam family: Bacterial small subunit ribosomal RNA
Source: RNAcentral
GACAGAGGGUGCGAACGUUGUUCGGAAUUACUGGGCGUAAAGCGCGUGUAGGCGGCAGCGCAAGUCGGGCGUGAAAUCCCACGGCUCAACCGUGGAAGUGCACUCGAAACUGCGCAGCUAGAGUCCUGGAGAGGAAGGUGGAAUGCUUGGUGUGGAGGUGAAAUUCGUAGAUAUCAAGCGGAACACCGGUGGCGAAGGCGACCUUCUGGACAGUGACUGACGCUGAGACGCGAAAGCGUGGGGAGCAAACAGG